This 86-nucleotide transfer RNA is filed under the name Marivita cryptomonadis. Its description in RNAcentral is "tRNA-Pro(ggg)". Lineage: Bacteria; Pseudomonadati; Pseudomonadota; Alphaproteobacteria; Rhodobacterales; Roseobacteraceae. RNAcentral also lists the same sequence under 1 other name. The record is from RNAcentral.
CGCAUCGCUGGCGGGGCGGGCGCCAAGGUUGGGAGUUUUGGCCAGCCGUUCCAGCGGUUGAGUGGCGGAUCUUUCCACCAGUGUGA